GUGGGGAAUCUUGCGCAAUGGGGGCAACCCUGACGCAGCCAUGCCGCGUGAAUGAUGAAGGCCUUAGGGUUGUAAAGUUCUUUUGCCCGUGACGAUGAUGACGGUAACGGGAGAAUAAGCUCCGGCUAACUUCGUGCCAGCAGCCGCGGUAAUACGAAGGGGGCUAGCGUUGUUCGGAAUUACUGGGCGUAAAGCGCGCGCAGGCGGUUCGAUAAGUUAGGGGUGAAAUCCCCGGGCUCAACCCGGGAAUGGCCUUUAAGACUGUCGAGCUAGAGGACGAGAGAGGUGAGUGGAAUUCCCAGUGUAGAGGUGAAAUUCGUAGAUAUUGGGAAGAACACCGGUGGCGAAGGCGGCUCACUGGCUCGUUUCUGACGCUGAGGCGCGAAAGCGUGGGGAGCAAACAGG
RNAcentral lists this ribosomal RNA (405 nucleotides) under uncultured bacterium. Its description in RNAcentral is "bacterial SSU rRNA". It matches the Rfam family "Bacterial small subunit ribosomal RNA", at positions 354 to 776 of the family's 1533-position model. The record is from RNAcentral.